This 433-nucleotide ribosomal RNA is filed under the name uncultured bacterium. Its description in RNAcentral is "partial 16S ribosomal RNA". It matches the Rfam family "Bacterial small subunit ribosomal RNA", at positions 29 to 507 of the family's 1533-position model. The record is from RNAcentral.
AACGAACGCUGGCGGCAGGCCUAACACAUGCAAGUCGAGCGGACCCUUCGGGGUUAGCGGCGGACGGGUGAGUAACGCGUGGGAAUAUGCCCUUCUCUACGGAAUAGUCCUGGGAAACUGGGGGUAAUACCGUAUACGCCCUUUGGGGGGAAGAUUUAUCGGGGAAGGAUUAGCCCGCGUUGGAUUAGGUAGUUGGUGGGGUAAUGGCCUACCAAGCCGACGAUCCAUAGCUGGUUUGAGAGGAUGAUCAGCCACACUGGGACUGAGACACGGCCCAGACUCCUACGGGAGGCAGCAGUGGGGAAUCUUAGACAAUGGGGGCAACCCUGAUCUAGCCAUGCCGCGUGAGUGAUGAAGGCCUUAGGGUUGUAAAGCUCUUUCAGCUGGGAAGAUAAUGACGGUACCAGCAGAAGAAGCCCCGGCUAACUCCGUG